Long non-coding RNA from Dromaius novaehollandiae (emu), 604 nucleotides. RefSeq lists it as uncharacterized. The record is from RefSeq and is a predicted model, not a curated record. Lineage: Eukaryota; Metazoa; Chordata; Aves; Casuariiformes; Dromaiidae. The transcript is spliced from 2 exons.
CUUUCCAAAUAUGGCUUUUUUGGUUGUAUUUUUGGAUUUUUUUGCCUUGUUUUUUUUUUACUGGUUCAUGUCAUCAUUCAUCUUUCCUGUUUUCGCUGUAGGACUUCUUAGAUGGUUCACAGAUGUGCACUGGAAAAUCUCUCACUGGAAAUUAAAAGAUCUGCAUACAUGUGAAGGCAUCACUCCAGAAUAAAGAACCAGGGCUGAGCAGGGCCCGAACUGCUCCCAAAGAGAAAUGAUGGGACCAAGGCCUCAGCUUCUUGCACUGUGUUAUCCCGAAGAUGUGGAGAGAAAGAGGUGCUCUUCUUGGGUAGAGGCCAGGAGCAGAGUAUCUCCUGCAACAGGACCAUGCCUAGCACUCACAUGCUGCUUUGCACAGCCUUCCUUUCACACCACUGUCCAACCAGCCUUGCCUUUCACCCUUCGACGCCUCCCACACUUACCAGUACUGGCAGGAAGGAAAAGUAACCAGAGCUAGUCUACCUGACAGGAGAUACCAGCAAUGCCACUCAGGAUGUUGGUCUGAAUCCCACACGAUCAGCUGUGUCCCAGCGCCCUGACGCUCUGAUAGCAACUAUAUGGCAUUUGUACGGCCUUUCUACAA